RNAcentral lists this ribosomal RNA (1548 nucleotides) under metagenome. RNAcentral's name for it is "bacterial SSU rRNA". It matches the Rfam family "Bacterial small subunit ribosomal RNA". The record is from RNAcentral.
AGAGUUUGAUUCUGGCUCAGAACGAACGCUGGCGGCGUGGAUAAGACAUGCAAGUCGAACGCUAGAUUGUGUGUAGCAAUACUCGCAGUCUGGAGUGGCGUAAGGGUGCGUAACACGUGGGUAAUUUGCCUGGAAGCCCGGGAUAACUCCGAGAAAUCGGAGCUAAUACCGGAUGUGAUCAGGGGCUGGCAUCAGCUUCUGCUCAAAAGUCGGGGACCCAAAGGCCUGACACUACCAGAUAAGCCCGCGGCCUAUCAGCUAGUUGGCGGGGCAACGGCCCACCAAGGCUAAGACGGGUAGCUGGUCUGAGAGGACGACCAGCCACACUGGAACUGAGACACGGUCCAGACACCUACGGGUGGCAGCAGUCGAGAAUUUUUCACAAUGGGGGAAACCCUGAUGGAGCGACGCCGCGUGGGGGAUGAAUGGCUUCGGCCCGUAAACCCCUGUCAUUUGCGAACAAACCUGGUGGCUGAACAAGCUGCCAGCUGAUAGUAGCAGAAGAGGAAGGGACGGCUAACUCUGUGCCAGCAGCCGCGGUAAUACAGAGGUCCCAAGCGUUGUUCGGAUUCACUGGGCGUAAAGGGUGCGUAGGCGGUAGGGUAAGUUUGAGGUGAAAUCUCCGGGCUCAACCCGGAAAAUGCCUUGAAGACUAUCCUGCUAGAGGAUCGGAGGGGAGACUGGAAUUCUCGGUGUAGCAGUGAAAUGCGUAGAUAUCGAGAGGAACACCAGUGGCGAAGGCGAGUCUCUGGACGAUUCCUGACGCUGAGGCACGAAAGCCAGGGGAGCAAACGAGAUUAGAUACCCCGGUAGUCCUGGCCCUAAACGGUGCGCACUUGCUGUGGGCGGAUUCGACCCCGUCCGUGGCGAAGGAAACCCGAUAAGUGCGCCGCCUGGGGAGUACGGUCGCAAGAUUAAAACUCAAAGAAAUUGACGGGGGCCUGCACAAGCGGUGGAGUAUGUGGCUUAAUUCGAUACUACGCGAAGAACCUUACCUGGCCUUGACAUGCACGUGGUAGAAGCGUGAAAGCGCAACGACCCCGCAAGGGGAGCGUGCACAGGUGCUGCAUGGCUGUCGUCAGCUCGUGUCGUGAGAUGUUGGGUUAAGUCCCGCAACGAGCGCAACCCCUGCGUCCUGUUGCCACCCGGUCGAGAGACCGGAGCACUCUGGACGGACUGCCUCGCUUCAACGAGGAGGAAGGUGGGGAUGACGUCAAGUCAGUAUGGCCCUUACGGCAGGGCUGCACACGUACUACAAUGCCCGGCACAGAGGGGCGCAAUCCAGCAAUGGGGAGCAAAUCCUUAAAACCGGGCCCAGUUCAGAUUGUCGGCUGCAACUCGCCGGCAUGAAGCUGGAAUCGCUAGUAAUGGCGCAUCAGCUACGGCGCCGUGAAUACGUUCCCAGGCCUUGUACACACCGCCCGUCACAUCAUGAAAGCCGUCUGUACCCAAAGCCGCCGCGCUAACCGUAAGGAGGCAGGUGCCUAAGGUAUGGAUGGUGAUUGGGAUGAAGUCGAAACAAGGUAGCCGUAGGGGAACCUGCGGCUG